Molecule: transfer RNA, 73 nt
Filed under: Niastella vici
Lineage: Bacteria; Pseudomonadati; Bacteroidota; Chitinophagia; Chitinophagales; Chitinophagaceae
Rfam family: tRNA
About the family: Transfer RNA (tRNA) molecules are approximately 80 nucleotides in length.
Source: Rfam by way of RNAcentral
UGUUGAGUGGUGUAACGGUUAAGCAUAUCAGUCUUUGACACUGAUGGUGUUGGUUCAAACCCAGCCUCAACAA